CCUACGGGGUGCAGCAGUCGAGAAUUAUUCACAAUGGGGGAAACCCUGAUGGUGCGACGCCGCGUGGGGGAAUGAAGGUCUUCGGAUUGUAAACCCCUGUCAUGUGGGAGCAAAUUAAAAAGAUAGUACCACAAGAGGAAGAGACGGCUAACUCUGUGCCAGCAGCCGCGGUAAUACAGAGGUCUCAAGCGUUGUUCGGAAUCACUGGGCGUAAAGCGUGCGUAGGCUGUUUCGUAAGUCGUGUGUGAAAGGUGCGGGCUCAACCCGCGGACGGCACAUGAUACUGCGAGACUAGAGUAAUGGAGGGGGAACCGGAAUUCUCGGUGUAGCAGUGAAAUGCGUAGAUAUCGAGAGGAACACUCGUGGCGAAGGCGGGUUCCUGGACAUUAACUGACGCUGAGGCACGAAGGCCAGGGGAGCGAAAGGGAUUAGAUACCCUUGUAGUC
This 446-nucleotide ribosomal RNA is filed under the name uncultured bacterium. RNAcentral's name for it is "partial 16S ribosomal RNA". It matches the Rfam family "Bacterial small subunit ribosomal RNA", at positions 338 to 795 of the family's 1533-position model. The record is from RNAcentral.